Cryptotermes secundus is the source of this 360-nucleotide long non-coding RNA. RefSeq lists it as uncharacterized. NCBI's taxonomy places the organism in Eukaryota, Metazoa, Arthropoda, Insecta, Blattodea, Kalotermitidae. The record is from RefSeq and is a predicted model, not a curated record. The transcript has 3 exons.
UCCAAUAGCCGAAAAGUGAAUAUACAGUCAGGAAUACUGUAGAUGUGAAACAUAAAUCACGAAACAGAAUAUGCCUGGCUGGCGAUGCGUCAGCAGAACACGUGAUUGUCGACCAGUGCUGCUUCAUGCGGGCCAGAGAUCCAUGUGCACAGGGGUGGACUAGGUAACCUUCAUGAUCACGUGCCUGCGAAAGUGCUGCCAUCUGAAUAUGGCGGAGAAGCAGGUUCCAUCCUUCCUAUGUGGAAUGAGUGGAAAGUGAGGGCUAUUAGCCAUCGGGACAUGGUCAUGCAACACGAUCAUAUAAAGUCACAAGAGAAUAAGGGGCCAGAGAAAUAAUACAGCUCACCGUAUGGAGUUAUU